This 1208-nucleotide ribosomal RNA is filed under the name marine metagenome. RNAcentral describes it as "bacterial LSU rRNA". It matches the Rfam family "Bacterial large subunit ribosomal RNA", at positions 1131 to 2442 of the family's 2925-position model. The record is from RNAcentral.
AGCGUAACAGCUCACCGGUCUAAUAGAGUUUCUGCGCCGAAGAUGUAACGGGGCUAAAAUCAUAUACCGAAUCUGUGGAUUUAUAAUUUUUUCGAAAAUUAUAACUGGUAGCGGAACGUUCUGUAAGCCUGCGAAGGGAUACCCGUGAGGGAUCCUGGAGGUAUCAGAAGUGCGAAUGCUGACAUAAGUAACGAUAAAAGAAGUGAAAAACUUCUUCGCCGAAAAUCCAAGGGUUUCUGCGCAAGGUUAAUCCGCGCAGAGUUAGUCGGCACCUAAGGCGAGGGCGAAAGCCGUAGUCGAUGGAAAUAAGGUUAAUAUUCCUUAACCAGAUGGUAGUGACGGAUCUUGUAAGUUGUAAGUUCUUAAUGGAUUGAACUUGCCGCGAAAAGGUUCCAAGAAAUAGCUCCAUCAUUAGACCGUACCCUAAACCGACACAGGUGGAUUAAUAGAGUAUAUUUAGGCGCUUGAGAGAAUGAUGUUGAAGGAACUCGGCAAAAUACUUCUGUAACUUCGGGAUAAGGAAGACCUUUUAGUAGGCAACUAUUAGAAGGUGGCACAAGCCAGGGAGAAGCGACUGUUUAUCAAAAACACAGGGCUCUGCUAACACGUAAGUGGAUGUAUAGGGUCUGACGCCUGCCCGGUGCUGGAAGGUUAAUGCGGUUGGUGCAAGCUAACUUCUGAAGCCCCAGUAAACGGCGGCCGUAACUAUAACGGUCCUAAGGUAGCGAAAUUCCUUGUCGGGUAAGUUCCGACCUGCAUGAAUGGCGUAACGAUUUCUCCGCUGUCUCCAACAUCAACUCAGUGAAAUUGAAUUCUCCGUGAAGAUGCGGAGUUCGCGUAGUUAGACGGAAAGACCCCGUGCACCUUUACUGCAACUUUACAUUGGUAUUAGGAAAAACAUAUUUAGCAUAGGAGGGAGACAUUGAAGCAAAGGCGUCAGCUUUUGUGGAGUCAUCAGUGAAAUACCUCUUUUGUUUUUCUUGGUAUCUAACUGAUUGCCGUCAUCCGGCAUCAAGACAUUGUAUGGUGGGUAGUUUGACUGGGGCGGUCGCCUCCCAAAUAGUAACGGAGGCGUGCGAAGGUAGGCUCAGAACGGUCAGAAAUCGUUCGUAGAGUGCAAUGGCAAAAGCCUGCCUGACUGUGAGACUGACAAGUCAAGCAGAGACGAAAGUCGGUCAUAGUGAUCCGGUGGUUCUGAGUGGAAGGGC